AUCUAGCUGACGAGUCCCAAAUAGGACGAAAUGCGCGUCCUGGAU
Non-coding RNA from Schistosoma haematobium, 45 nucleotides. The record is from Rfam. NCBI's taxonomy places the organism in Eukaryota, Metazoa, Platyhelminthes, Trematoda, Strigeidida, Schistosomatidae.